This 274-nucleotide ribosomal RNA is filed under the name uncultured bacterium. RNAcentral's name for it is "partial 16S ribosomal RNA". It matches the Rfam family "Bacterial small subunit ribosomal RNA", at positions 523 to 796 of the family's 1533-position model. The record is from RNAcentral.
AUACGGAGGGUGCAAGCGUUACUCGGAAUCACUGGGCGUAAAGCGCGCGCAGGCGGCUAUUUAAGUUGGAUGUGAAAGCCUAUGGCUCAACCAUAGAACUGCAUCCAAAACUAUUUAGCUAGAGUGUGGGAGAGGAAGAUGGAAUUAGUUGUGUAGGGGUAAAAUCCGUAGAGAUAACUAGGAAUACCAAAAGCGAAGGCAAUCUUCUGGAACACUACUGACGCUGAGGCGCGAAAGCGUGGCGAGCAAACAGGAUUAGAAACCCUAGUAGUCC